CAAUAGCGUAUAUUAAAGUUGUUGCAGUUAAAAAGCUCGUAGUUGGAUUUCUGGUAGGAGUGACCGUUCCGAACUUGAUUGUUCGUGUAUUGUGUUUUCUCCAGCCAUCCUUGUGGAGACCUUUUCUUGCAUUAAUUUGUAGGGAUUGGGACCCGCAUCGUUUACUGUGAAAAAAUUAGAGUGUUUAAAGCAGGCAAUCGCUUGAAUACAUUAGCAUGGAAUAAUAAGAUAGGACUUUGGUACUAUUUUGUUGGUUUGCAUACCAAAUUAAUGAUCAACAGGAACAGUUUGAGGAUAUUCGUAUGAACAUGUCAGAGGUGAAAUUCUUGGAUUUUGAUCAGACGAACUACUGCGAAAGCAUUUAUCAAGGAUGUUUUCAUUAA
Molecule: ribosomal RNA, 383 nt
Filed under: uncultured eukaryote
Lineage: Eukaryota
Description: partial 18S ribosomal RNA
Rfam family: Eukaryotic small subunit ribosomal RNA
Source: RNAcentral